Molecule: ribosomal RNA, 699 nt
Filed under: uncultured bacterium
Lineage: Bacteria
Description: bacterial SSU rRNA
Rfam family: Bacterial small subunit ribosomal RNA
Source: RNAcentral
CACGGAUAACAUACCGAAAGGUAUGCUAAUACGGGAUAAUAUAUUUGAGAGGCAUCUCUUAAAUAUCAAAGGUGAGCCAGUACAGGAUGGACCCGCGUCUGAUUAGCUAGUUGGUAAGGUAACGGCUUACCAAGGCGACGAUCAGUAGCCGACCUGAGAGGGUGAUCGGCCACAUUGGAACUGAGACACGGUCCAAACUCCUACGGGAGGCAGCAGAGGGGAAUAUUGCACAAUGGGCGAAAGCCUGAUGCAGCAACGCCGCGUGAGUGAUGAAGGCCUUCGGGUCGUAAAACUCUGUCCUCAAGGAAGAUAAUGACGGUACUUGAGGAGGAAGCCCCGGCUAACUACGUGCCAGCAGCCGCGGUAAUACGUAGGGGGCUAGCGUUAUCCGGAUUUACUGGGCGUGAAGGGUGCGUAGGCGGUCUUUCAAGUCAGGAGUGAAAGGCUACGGCUCAACCGUAGUAAGCUCUUGAAACUGGGAGACUUGAGUGCAGGAGAGGAGAGUGGAAUUCCUAGUGUAGCGGUGAAAUGCGUAGAUAUUAGGAGGAACACCAGUUGCGAAGGCGGCUCUCUGGACUGUAACUGACGCUGAGGCACGAAAGCGUGGGGAGCAAACAGGAUUAGAUACCCUGGUAGUCCACGCUGUAAACGAUGAGUACUAGGUGUCGGGGGUUACCCCCCUCGGUGCCGCAGCUAACG